This 253-nucleotide ribosomal RNA is filed under the name uncultured bacterium. RNAcentral's name for it is "partial 16S ribosomal RNA". It matches the Rfam family "Bacterial small subunit ribosomal RNA", at positions 524 to 776 of the family's 1533-position model. The record is from RNAcentral.
UACGGAGGGAGCUAGCGUUGUUCGGAAUUACUGGGCGUAAAGCGCGCGUAGGCGGCUUUGUAAGUUAGAGGUGAAAGCCCGGGGCUCAACCCCGGAACAGCCUUUAAGACUGCAUCGCUAGAAUCCGGGAGAGGUGAGUGGAAUUCCGAGUGUAGAGGUGAAAUCCGUAGAUAUUCGGAAGAACACCAGUGGCGAAGGCGGCUCACUGGACCGGUAUUGACGCUGAGGUGCGAAAGCGUGGGGAGCAAACAGG